GCCUCCUCGGGGCUCCCUCCCCUCCCCUCUGAUCUCCAAUAAUCCUUAACCCUUUUUUUCCCCCUGAUGGCCCUGGGGGUGGGGGAAGAGGCCAGGCGGUGGAGCCUUCUGAUUUUGGGGAGGUCUCCUAUUUGACAGGUGCCAGACCACCGACUGAGCUCUUCCUGAAGAUCCCGGGAGUCCAUCCAGAUGGAGAUUUCGAGCUUUGUGGAGGAGAACGGGGCUUUCUACCACAUCAUAUCAAACGUACAUACGAAUAACAUGACUUAUCAAGGAUGAUGUUGACCUGGAUCGGUGGAUGGAAGUAGUGUUCGUCAGCUUUUCCAUUAUAGUCUCUUCACUCAUGUGGGCUGAUGAGUACUCCUCUGAGCGCUCAACCAGAAUUCUCCACAAGGACCCACGGUUCUCUGUACCCUUCACUCCUCUCCAAACUCAGAUUUGGAUUUCCUCAACUCAGGAAAGCCGCCAACUCAGUCUGGGUUCCACUUGUUCCACCCUGGCCUGGAAACUCUCCACAAGCAAUAAACAAAGGCAGUCACAGCCAUCGCCUGGCUUCUCACCUCUCAGGGAAACUUGUCCUUUGUCACUUCAUGUCUACUGUCUUAAAACCCAUUAUUGGAGGCCAGGUGCCUUGGUACACACAAUCCCUGGGACUCAGGAGGCUGAGACCGAUGUAAGUCAAGACGGCCCCAGCAACCUAGCAAGGCUGUCAGUGACUUCGUGAGACCCUCUCUCAAAACAAAAAUGACUGGGAUGUAGCUCAGUGGUAAAGCAGGCCUGGCUUCAAUCUUCAGUACAAAAAAAACCCCAUAAUUUGAUAUAUUAUUCCUAUUUAUUUUGGCUGUUUGAAUUAAGAAGCUGAGUCUGAACCCUGUUCCUGUAUACUGAGGGGAGAUUUUUUUUGAUGGUGAUGUUACUUACUUCUAUUCUCAAUAAAAACUAUUGAUUGCACAGAGUUUUCACUCUAAACUACA
Molecule: non-coding RNA, 974 nt
Organism: Ictidomys tridecemlineatus (thirteen-lined ground squirrel)
Lineage: Eukaryota; Metazoa; Chordata; Mammalia; Rodentia; Sciuridae
Source: RefSeq, a predicted model, not a curated record